This 468-nucleotide ribosomal RNA is filed under the name uncultured bacterium. Its description in RNAcentral is "partial 16S ribosomal RNA". It matches the Rfam family "Bacterial small subunit ribosomal RNA", at positions 28 to 507 of the family's 1533-position model. The record is from RNAcentral.
GACGAACGCUGGCGGCGUGCUUAACACAUGCAAGUCGAACGGAAAGGCCCUGCUUUUGUGGGGUGCUCGAGUGGCGAACGGGUGAGUAACACGUGAGUAACCUGCCCUUGACUUUGGGAUAACUUCAGGAAACUGGGGCUAAUACCGGAUAGGAGCUCCUGCUGCAUGGUGGGGGUUGGAUAGUUUCGGCGGUUGGGGAUGGACUCGCGGCUUAUCAGCUUGUUGGUGGGGUAGUGGCUUACCAAGGCUUUGACGGGUAGCCGGCCUGAGAGGGUGACCGGCCACAUUGGGACUGAGAUACGGCCCAGACUCCUACGGGAGGCAGCAGUGGGGAAUAUUGCACAAUGGGCGGAAGCCUGAUGCAGCAACGCCGCGUGGGGGAUGACGGCCUUCGGGUUGUAAACCGCUUUCGCCUGUGACGAAGCGUGAGUGACGGUAAUGGGUAAAGAAGCACCGGCUAACUACGUG